AGUGAUAUUCAUUUUUUUAAAAAACAAACAAACAAAUUACAAUUAAUAUUUUAAAAAGGGGAAGGAACGGAAAACCCAUUUUCACAAAACAUCAUUUUAUCCAACUCAUCUCCAGAUUUCCUAAAUGUAGACAAUAAAUCUGGUUGUGGAGAAGUGUUUGGAUUGCACCGGGUGGAAAAUAUUUGAAUUACGCCACUGAUAUUUUAAGAUAGACUGUACCACGCCAGGGAAGUUUUGUUUGCUGGCUACAAGCCACAUGUCGCAAAUCAUUCGCAGAAAUAUUCCAUUCCUGGCCAUCCGGGCGAAGGGCCAAAUUUAAGUAGUUAUAAAGUCAUUGGACAAGCAUCUCCUAAUGGAUGGAGAAUCGGGGAGGGGCUGAUUAAAAGUUCAAUUAGUCAAUUAACACCCGCACCCAACGGAUUUAAUCUGGCGGUCACAGGAAGUGACACUAUUCAGGAACACGAAUAAAAAGGCGGAUGGCAGCUUUGGGCCCCUCAAUCCGUCCCUUGGUGACUUUUCUCGACAUCUCUGUCUCUUCUCGCAAACUUUAGGCUUCUUCACCCUUUGGAGAACCAUGAAUCAGCAAAAACAAGGUUGUAAGGUCCCUCCCUGCCCAGGACCUUGCGGUCCCCCCAAAUGUCCCCCCAAGUCUUGUUGCUCACAUUCCUACAAGGGGUUGCCCCAAAAGGGGCCCUGCUGCCCUCCGUCCAAAAAUGUGCAGUGUCCUCCACAGAAGGCCCAACACCCUCCUAAACAGUGUUGAUGGUUGCCAUGCCCCACGGAUAAAGGGGAAGGGGCUGAGAAAGAACUUCAACCCACCCUCCUCCGGUGCUGCUUCCAAGCCUUCCCACCCAGCGUUCUCCAUCGUGUCCUCAGGAGGUCUCAACUGACGUCUUCUGGAAAUGGUCCUGGCGAUUGUUAGAUCUUCUCAAGAACAUCCAAAUUUUGUUUGAUUUCCCACGGAGCAACUCUGUCACUCUCGAAGACAUAACAGCAAAGUUUUAAUAAAAAUACUCGCUCCUCCACCGAA
Non-coding RNA from Pantherophis guttatus, 1030 nucleotides. Lineage: Eukaryota; Metazoa; Chordata; Lepidosauria; Squamata; Colubridae. The record is from RefSeq and is a predicted model, not a curated record.